Molecule: ribosomal RNA, 592 nt
Filed under: uncultured bacterium
Lineage: Bacteria
Description: bacterial SSU rRNA
Rfam family: Bacterial small subunit ribosomal RNA
Source: RNAcentral
UACUCCUACGGGAGGCAGCAGUAGGGAAUCUUCCGCAAUGGGCGAAAGCCUGACGGAGCAACGCCGCGUGAGUGAUGAAGGUCUUCGGAUCGUAAAACUCUGUUAUUAGGGAAGAACAUAUGUGUAAGUAACUGUGCACAUCUUGACGGUACCUAAUCAGAAAGCCACGGCUAACUACGUGCCAGCAGCCGCGGUAAUACGUAGGUGGCAAGCGUUAUCCGGAAUUAUUGGACGUAAAGCGCGCGUAGGCGGUUUUUUAAGUCUGAUGUGAAAGCCCACGGCUCAACCGUGGAGGGUCAUUGGAAACUGGAAAACUUGAGUGCAGAAGAGGAAAGUGGAAUUCCAUGUGUAGCGGUGAAAUGCGCAGAGAUAUGGAGGAACACCAGUGGCGAAGGCGACUUUCUGGUCUGUAACUGACGCUGAUGUGCGAAAGCGUGGGGAUCAAACAGGAUUAGAUACCCUGGUAGUCCACGCCGUAAACGAUGAGUGCUAAGUGUUAGGGGGUUUCCGCCCCUUAGUGCUGCAGCUAACGCAUUAAGCACUCCGCCUGGGGAGUACGACCGCAAGGUUGAAACUCAAAGGAAUUGACGGA